Long non-coding RNA from Vitis vinifera (wine grape), 4582 nucleotides. RefSeq lists it as uncharacterized. The record is from RefSeq and is a predicted model, not a curated record. NCBI's taxonomy places the organism in Eukaryota, Viridiplantae, Streptophyta, Magnoliopsida, Vitales, Vitaceae. The transcript has 2 exons.
CUCAUAUCUUAGUUACUGAAAAAGAUGUGGAAAGGAAGAGAAGAAUAGGAAUUUUCGUCUUCUAUUCUUAUCCCAAUGAAUAAGAAUUUUUUUCUCCCAUUCUUAUCCCAAAGGACAACAAUCUUUGGGAUUGAUAUCCAUUUUUUUUAUAAAAAAAAAAAAAGACAAAAACAAACAAACAAAUAAAGGUUGUUGACUGGUAGGUACCCCCUUCCUGGGAUUGAUCUCCAAGAUAAAGCUAAUUUGUUGACUUUGAGGUGCUGCAUUUCUUGCUUACUUCACCCUCCCAUAUUUUCUCCCUAAUGAAACAACUUAAAUACUAAGUCUCAUACCCUGUAGAAUCAGUGCAGAAAUCUCCAGUCCAUGGUAGUUUCAGCAGUUAUCAUUUAUGGCUUCAAGCAGCACUCAAGCACCCUCUUCUUCUAUCCCUCCCUGGAGUCAUGAUGUUUUCUUGAGUUUCAGAGGGAAAGACACCCGCAAAAAUUUUAUGGAUCAUCUAUACACAGCUUUGGUUGCAAAUGGAAUUCACACCUUUAGAGAUGAUGAAGAACUUGAUAGAGGAGCACCAGGACUCUUGAAAGCUAUCGAGCAGUCAAGGAUUUCCAUUGUUAUUUUCUCGAAAAUUAUGCUGAUUCUAGAUGGUGUUCGGAUGAAGUUAUAAAGAUUAUUGAGUGUGGCAACAAUGAGGCGAAUGGCUCUCCAAGUUUUCUACCAUGUGGAUCCAACCGAAGUGAGAAACCAGACGGGGAGUUAUGGGAAAGCAUUUAUGGAGUAUGAAAAAGAUGUGAGCAAGGAGAAUAGAGAGAAGAUAGAGAAGUGGAGAGCAGCCUUGAAAGAAGCAAUCAAUCUAUCUGGAUGGCACCUUCAUAAUCAGUAAGUGCUAUUACUUUUGUUUUUCCUUCUUUUUCUUGGAUUAUGUUUGGUUUCCCAAAAAUUUAGAGAGAAUAUAUGAGAAAAAAAAAUAGAGAGAAAAAUAAAAGAAAAAUAAAAAAUAGAUUUAAAAUCAUAAAAUACUUCUUCAAACUCAUUUAAUUUAUUUUAACUUUUCAUGUAAAGAUAAAAUAAUUUGAAAAUGCAUAAGUUAGCCAUCACUUUUGUCUUUCACUAUCCAAAGAGAAAAGAAUCUUACCCUCUACCCUCUUGAACUACCUAUUAUUUGUGUGCUAAGGAAUAUAGUUGAAUCAUUGGGUUGAAAAUCAUGGGUCUACGAGACUUUCGAGAACAUUGAUUUAAUUCUUCAACACUUGAAUUUAAGGCUUGAGAACAUUCAAACCUAAAAAUCAGUAUUUUAACCCUAAAAAUCAAUUUUUUUAAAAAAAAUUGACAUUAUUUCUGUUAUUUAAAUCUAAAAUGUCAACAAUUGAUAUCAAAGCUUGAGUGGGGACCACUAGGACCUAUAAGAUAGCACUUUCUCCUUCAUAAUCCUAUUUUGAAGUUGAUUCAACAUCCCACUAUAGAGAAUCAAUUGCACUCUAGUACCCUAUGUAAAUGAUAAUGAGACAAAAAGUGCUUAAGUCUGUGACUUGCUAUCCAUUGCACUCAAUCUCCCUAUGAACUAGUGUCUAUAGUCUAACAAAGAGAAAAUUAUCAACCUUUUAAGACUAACUCUACUAUCCUUAAGUUGGAGAUCCUUAUAUUAUGUGAUAAAUUGACAUAUCUUACCUUACAAAGAGUUUAUGUUAAGUUCUAGUUAAAUAACUAUUAUGACCAUAGUUUACAUGAACACAUCUCCUUAGGAUUACUCAAGAGGACACUCUAUCUCAAUUCUAUAAGAUAUCAUGGUAUCUCUAUUGAGAAUAUCUAUUUCUAUCAACUUUCAUUAAUUGUUACCUGAUCUAUAAGGAAUAUGUGAUCACUUUAGGAUCCCACUCGUAAAUCAAAGUCAUUGUUAACUUUGAAACAAAUUCAAUAUUUUAUCAAGGUUAAGAGAUAAUACAACGUAGUAGUUUGGUGAAGUUAUGACUACUCAAUAACCUUACAUCGUAAUUCACCAUAGGUUCUUUCUAAUGUGUAACCAUACACAGUAGUGCAUUCAUAAUGAGAAACUCAUCCCAAUGGCCAAGACUAGUCAUCCCUUGAAUUAAGAGGUAGUGUACUAUAACCUCUAAUGGUUUAUUCGAUAUACAUUUUAAAAUAAUUAUUCUACUUAAUAACCUACAAGAACCCAUUUUAACGUGUAAGAACUUGAAUUGUGCAUAAAUUUGACAUGGGCUGGUAAUUAAUUACCCAACCUUAGGUUAGGUUUGGCAUAAGUUAGGCAUUUUGAUAUCAAGUUAGGCAUAGUAGCCUUUUAACCUUUCCAAUCCACCCAAGAGUUACAACCCUAUUUCUUCCUUAUUGUAUCGUGUUUUUACCCAUAUUCUUUCUUCCUCAUAAUUAAUUCUACCUCUUACAUCAAUUAUCUUCCGAGAAUUAAUUCCAUUUUUCCACAUUAAUUAUUAAAAAAAAAGCACAUAAAUAGGCAAUUGAUUCAAUUGUAGUACAUUAUUUACAAGAGAAAAAGAAUAAAAAUCCUGUAAGAUUGGAAAAAAGACAAUUCUUCUCUUCUAUUUCAUUAGUGAUAAGAAUUAGAAUGGUUCAUUGAUUCUCUUAUCCUACAUUAACAAAAAAAAAAAAAAAACUUAAAAAUGUAUAAUGGAUUCCAUUAUCCUACAUCAAUCACCAAAAAACAAAAUAAAAAUCAAUCAAAAAUUGGAAAAAAGACAACUCUUCCAUCCAUUCCUAGAAUAUUUUGAAACUGACCCGCUCCCAUCCUGGACCAUAUGCUCAUACUUCUUAAAGGCGCAUUGCAUGGCUAUUGUGUCAAUGAUGAGGUGAAGUGUGUGUAUAUAUAUAUAUAUAUAUAUAUAUUCUUUUUAAAAACUAAAAUAUAUUAACUCUUUUUAAAAUAGAUUUGAUAAUUGUAAUUUUAUUUUAGAAAAUAAAAAAUUUAUUUAUGUAUUCCUGGACUCUUUGACCUUUCAUUUUAAAACUUAUUGGAGAAUAUUUUUUUUAAUACUUUUAUUAUUGUAAUUUUUACUAUCAAGUUUGACAUUAGAAAAAUCAUUUUUAAUUUAAAAAUAAAAAUACUAAAAAUUGUAUUUCCAUUUUUAGUUUCAUUUUCUUUUUUUUUUUUUCUUUUUUAUUAUCUCUACAAAUAAACCUCAUAAUAUGAAGGUCAGUUUUCAGACAAAAAAAAAUUCUUAUUCUUGGAAGUUCCAAGAAAGUCGAAAGGCAAUCCCAUCCUUCUUUCUUUCCGAAGUCUAUAAAUAUUCUUGAAAAUAGUUUCCAAACAAGCCCUCAAUUUUCUAACUUUUCUUCCAUUCUCAAUUUUCUACCUACGAUGAAUCAUGACAUUCUAUCAGGUAGUCAUGAAUUCACCAAGCUACUAUAUUGCAUGAGAUCUCAACCUUGAGAGAAUAUUGAACUUGUGUUGAUGUCAAUGACUUUGACCUAUGGGUGAGACCCUAUGGUGGUUGUAUAUUUCCUAGGGAUUGAGUCAAUGUUGAUUAAGAUAGGUGGAAAUAGCUAUUAACAAGAUAAACAUCAUGAUAUUUCAUGGGAUUAAAAUAAUGCAUCCCCUUAGGUAAUCCUAAAGACAUAUAAUCAUGAAAUAUGUAGUAAUAAUUCCCUAAGUGGAAUUUGACAUAUUCUCUUAGAAAGUUAGAAUAUGUUAGUUGAUUACAUAAUAGGAAGAUUUAAGACUAAAGGAUGGUAGAGGUAACAUUUAGAGUUUAGUAGCAUCUACAUUAUUAGAUUAUAUACAUUAGUUCAUAGGGAGUUUGCAUAUAGUGGAUAGUAGGUCACAAACUCGAGCUUUAUAUCUCAUUAUAAUAUCAUAAAAUAGUGUAGUGUAGUUACAUCUCCAUUGUGGAAUAUUGAGUCAACUUUAGAAUUAGAUUCUAAGGGAGUCAGUAUUUUCUUAUGGUCCUAAUGGUCUCCAUUGGAGCUCAUAUUCCUUGGUGGUAUAGUUUUUAAGGGAUAUAUGUAUUCUUUAUUCUUAAGUGUGCUUAAUGGCAUUUUGGAAAAAACACAAGAUUGUACAAGAGCUUGCGAAAGGUCUUUUUGGAUUGAUCAAUUAAUUAGGAUCCAAUGGGUUAGGGUUAAAUGACCCAAACCUAAGAUAAACUAAAGUCACUUAAGCUUAUAAGGAAGUCUAUAUAAAACACCUUAGGGAUUAAGGCUUGAAAUCUAAUCAUUUUGUUUUCCAGCCCUAGUUUCCACCCCCAAGUUAGGAUUCCACCAUUCUCAAACGCUAAGAUCUAAGAAAGGGCUAUUGAGUGAAAGAUCGUGAGCUUUUCAAGAUAUGCAUCAUCAUUUUCUUCAACUGUAAUUGAUAUGAGAACAUCCAGAUCAAAGACGAGGAUCUAGUAGAAUCACAUAUUGAGCAAGUUCAACAAGUGGCCAGCAAGACAUGUAUCCAUUGUUGCCCUUUUCUUUUUUCCUCUUUUUAGUGUAGACUGUUGCCAUGUAGGCAUUUCCUUACAUAUGUUCAGGAUUUGAAAAUUGGAUGCUAAGGUUGGCUCUUAUGCACUCAAAAUUUUGUAUCUUAAAAAUGGUUAUGAAUAUGUUGUUUCCUUAAAAAUACUUCAUUAUACUUCUC